AGUCAGAAUCAAGACAGAAUUCUGAGAAAAAAGUUCUGACUUCAGGAUUCUGAUUU
RNAcentral lists this microRNA precursor (56 nucleotides) under Oreochromis niloticus (Nile tilapia). Its description in RNAcentral is "microRNA oni-mir-10947 precursor". The record is from miRBase by way of RNAcentral. Lineage: Eukaryota; Metazoa; Chordata; Actinopteri; Cichliformes; Cichlidae.